Molecule: long non-coding RNA, 1191 nt
Organism: Oncorhynchus kisutch (coho salmon)
Lineage: Eukaryota; Metazoa; Chordata; Actinopteri; Salmoniformes; Salmonidae
Exons: 2
Source: RefSeq, a predicted model, not a curated record
AUACACCAACCCUCAUGGGCUGUGUCUCAAUCCACCACGCCCACGCUGACAUCUAAUUAGCAUAAUACACCAACCCUCAUGGGCUGUGUCUCAAUCCACCACGCCCGCCUGUCAGCCUGGAAUAGACCUUCCUCAUCUGAGGUGGAAGGUGACCUUCCUCAUCUGAGGUGGAAUCGACCUUCCUCAUCUGAGGUGGAAGGUGACAGAGCUACAGCGGUGUUUGUCAAGAGAUCGUGGUGAAACAUCCCUGAAAAAUUGGUCUUCUCACAAAUACUUCUGUAGCGUCCUAACGAGUCAGAUUGGACCAUCUUCAAACAAUUCCACAUGUACCCAGAUUAUUUAGUUAGUUUAGUUGGAACUCAGUGCCCUGGGGCCCCUAGACCCCUUCUUUUAACAGCUUUGUGAUGAGGAAUAUAAUUCUAUUGAAACUAACCUGCCAACUGGAACUAAGCCUUAGAGACACACACAGGUUCUCUCUUCCUCCUCACAGCUCCCCUGUAGCUAUAACUCAGGCUGACUUGACCUGCUAGUAACUAACACACAUCAGCCUCCAACGUGGAAACAACUGGAACUAAGCCUUAGAGACACACACAGGUUCUCUCUUCCUCCUCACAGUGUUCCUCUGUAACUCCUGUCAGGCUGACCUGACCUGCUAGUAACUAACACACAUCAGCCUCCAACGUGGAAACAUCUGGAACUAAGCCUUAGAGACACACACACAGGUUCUCUCUUCCUCCUCACAGUUCCCCUGUGACUCAGGCUGACCUGACCUGCUAGUAACUAACACACAUCAGCCUCCACAUCCAACGUGAAAACAACAUAAAAAAAGCUGCUACACGAGGCUGACAAAUGUUUGUUUGUUGUGAGAGAAGAAGAAGAGAGAGAGAGAGAACCUCAAACUACAUGUUGCCGUCCUAGUAUCACUCUCUAUUCACACCCAGCUGUAUGACAGGCAGUUUGCCCGUCCAUGUCUCUAUUGAAGUCUUUUGGGUUCAUGUAGUAUUUGUCUUUAUUUGUAGUGGGGGUGUUAGUUGUGUUGAUGCUGGUGAACUUGAAGGAGAUAAGCAGUUGGGAUGUAAAUGGAUUCAACAGUAUUUUUGGGAAUAUCAGGCCCAACUGUCUCUAUGUCUGGCCUGUAAAGAGCCUCUCUCUCUCUCUCUCUGUCUGGCCUGUAAAGAGCCUCUCUCUCUC